CCUACGGGGGGCAGCAGUGGGGAAUAUUGGACAAUGGGGGGAACCCUGAUCCAGCCAUGCCGCGUGUGUGAAGAAGGCCCUCGGGUUGUAAAGCACUUUCAGUGAGGAAGAACGCCUGGUGGUUAAUACCCAUCAGGAAAGACAUCACUCACAGAAGAAGCACCGGCUAACUCCGUGCCAGCAGCCGCGGUAAUACGGAGGGUGCGAGCGUUAAUCGGAAUUACUGGGCGUAAAGCGCGCGUAGGUGGCUUGAUAAGCCGGUUGUGAAAGCCCCGGGCUCAACCUGGGAACGGCAUCCGGAACUGUCAAGCUAGAGUGCAGGAGAGGAAGGUAGACUUCCCGGUGUAGCGGUGAAAUGCGUAGAGAUCGGGAGGAAUACCAGUGGCGAAGGCGGCCUUCUGGACUGACACUGACACUGAGGUGCGAAAGCGUGGGUAGCAAACAGGAUUAGAUACCCUUGUAGUC
RNAcentral lists this ribosomal RNA (465 nucleotides) under Vreelandella stevensii. RNAcentral's name for it is "partial 16S ribosomal RNA". It matches the Rfam family "Bacterial small subunit ribosomal RNA", at positions 338 to 795 of the family's 1533-position model. The record is from RNAcentral. Lineage: Bacteria; Pseudomonadati; Pseudomonadota; Gammaproteobacteria; Oceanospirillales; Halomonadaceae.